Molecule: unclassified non-coding RNA, 204 nt
Filed under: Hevea brasiliensis (rubber tree)
Lineage: Eukaryota; Viridiplantae; Streptophyta; Magnoliopsida; Malpighiales; Euphorbiaceae
Source: RNAcentral
GUUAGAUCUAUGCGCUCUUUGGGGGCAUCUGGAAAUGAUGUAGGAUCCUUCCAUCAAAAUUCUCUUUACUCUGGUCAAAAUAUGGCAACGCCUUCUAAUAGUACUAGUUCAGAUGCUACCAUUUCUGAUUAUUCUGGUGAAAGUAUGCCAUCUCAUUCUACUGGUACAAGUUCAGAUCCUACCACAUCUACUGGUCAAGAAAUG